GCGGUGGAGCAUUGUGGUUUAAUUCGAAGCAACGCGCAGAACCUUACCAGCCUUUGACAUGGCAGGACGAUUUUCAGAGAUGGAUCUCUUCCAGCAAUGGACCUGCACACAGGUGCUGCAUGGCUGUCGUCAGCUCGUGUCGUGAGAUGUUGGGUUAAGUCCCGCAACGAGCGCAACCCUCGCCUUUAGUUGCCAUCAUUCAGUUGGGCACUCUAAAGGGACUGCCGGUGAUAAGCCGCGAGGAAGGUGGGGAUGACGUCAAGUCCUCAUGGCCCUUACGGGCUGGGCUACACACGUGCUACAAUGGCGGUGACAGUGGGAUGCAAAGGGGCGACCCCUCGCAAAUCUCAAAAAGCCGUCUCAGUUCGGAUUGUACUCUGCAACUCGAGUGCAUGAAGUUGGAAUCGCUAGUAAUCGUGGAUCAGCAUGCCACGGUGAAUACGUUCCCGGGCCUU
RNAcentral lists this ribosomal RNA (455 nucleotides) under uncultured Xanthobacter sp. Its description in RNAcentral is "bacterial SSU rRNA". It matches the Rfam family "Bacterial small subunit ribosomal RNA", at positions 929 to 1382 of the family's 1533-position model. The record is from RNAcentral. Lineage: Bacteria; Pseudomonadati; Pseudomonadota; Alphaproteobacteria; Hyphomicrobiales; Xanthobacteraceae.